UGGAUAAUCUGCCCUUCGAUGGGGGACAACAACCCGAAAGGGUUGCUAAUACCGCAUACGUCGGCGAGCUCUGCGGAGCACGUCGGGAAAGCUGCCCUCUACUUGUAAGGUAGCGUCGAAGGAGGAGUCCGCGUCCCAUCAGCUAGGUUGGUAGGUAAUGGCCUACGAAGGCAAAGGACGGGUAGCUCGUCUGAGAGGAUGAUCAGCCACACGUGGGACUGACACGACCGGCACGUACG
RNAcentral lists this ribosomal RNA (239 nucleotides) under uncultured bacterium. RNAcentral's name for it is "partial 16S ribosomal RNA". It matches the Rfam family "Bacterial small subunit ribosomal RNA", at positions 118 to 343 of the family's 1533-position model. The record is from RNAcentral.